This 484-nucleotide ribosomal RNA is filed under the name uncultured bacterium. RNAcentral describes it as "partial 16S ribosomal RNA". It matches the Rfam family "Bacterial small subunit ribosomal RNA", at positions 28 to 507 of the family's 1533-position model. The record is from RNAcentral.
AUUGAACGCUGGCGGCAUGCUUUACACAUGCAAGUCGAACGGCAGCGCGGGCUUCGGCCUGGCGGCGAGUGGCGAACGGGUGAGUAAUGCAUCGGAACGUGCCCAGUAGUGGGGGAUAGCCCGGCGAAAGCCGGAUUAAUACCGCAUACGACCUGAGGGUGAAAGCGGUGGACCGAAAGGCCUCGCGCUAUUGGAGCGGCCGAUGUCGGAUUAGCUAGUUGGUGGGGUAAAGGCUUACCAAGGCGACGAUCCGUAGCUGGUCUGAGAGGACGACCAGCCACACUGGGACUGAGACACGGCCCAGACUCCUACGGGAGGCAGCAGUGGGGAAUUUUGGACAAUGGGGGCAACCCUGAUCCAGCCAUGCCGCGUGCGGGAAGAAGGCCUUCGGGUUGUAAUCCGCUUUUGUUCGGGAAGAAAUCCUCUGGGCUAAUACCCCGGGGGGAUGACGGUACCGGAAGAAUAAGCACCGGCUAACUACGUG